CAUCAGGACCACUCGAUGUAGGAUACACUGAUGGCAGUCAGCUCGUGCCUAUCCGUGGGCACGAAAGCACAGUGAGACAAAACGAAGCCUCGUUUGAAACAUGUUGCAGGUGUCAAUGAAACAUUCCACUUUGCUGUAAUCAUAACCAUGUCUUAAAUACACCCAGGUUCGUGUUCUGUGGAAUGGAAACACUUGUAUGCUCCAGAAUGAUUAACAUGUCACGCACUAUGAUGCUGGAAUACACUUGGCCUUUGUCCUCACGGUAGUCAUAUCAUCUAUGUUUAAGUAUGUGGUUCAAGUUGUGUUCUUUCGUAUUGACACCAACGAUGUUUAGAAUAUGAAAACGACAUAGAACGUGACAUAUAUUUCUCUUGGGCUUUGGGAAUGCUUGGACUCUGUAAAAUGUUAUUAACUUUUCUUUGGCCAAAAAAUAAUCAUUAUUUCACUGUAGGAGUAUGAGCAAAACAAUGUUCGACGAGAAUGUGAUAUUUAUUGUGUGGCGUGAAAACAGUCCCUUUGAGAGCAUGGAGGAAGAUAUAUCUCAGUUGUGUGGCGAAAUUAAGUAUGCUAGACCCUUUACAUCCCAUAUAUCGCAUAACAAAAGAGAAGUUGAAUGACAAAGAAAAGUGCAACUUCUGUCAGACAGAAUUUUGAAAAAACAUUUUUGAAAGAAUAAAUAUGAUAGCCGAGACAAAACUUUAAGAUCCCCGUCAAUCAUUCCAGAUAUUUGAUAUGCAGUCAGAUAUUUUCUCAGUUUGUUUUCGGGUUCAUGUUCGGUUUAAAUGAGAAAAAGUGCCAAACCAAAUAUCUGUGUUAAAAAAGUAUUUAUCUGAAUAGAAAUCCGCAUUAAUGUUUGAAGAAGGGGUGAUACAGAAUGAGAUAUUUGAGAAUUCUUUGACUAUUUUCAAGGUGAAAUGGAUAUUUAGUGACUAUGUUGCAAAUCGUUGCACAUUGUUAAUCUCAGGUUUUCGUAUCGUGUUUCAAUGUACAUUCCUGUUUACGUUAAUAGUAUUUCAAAGUGAGACUUGAUUCCCAUUCCACUCAUAUAUAUUUAAAGGUUAGCAUAGGUUCCUGUUCCAGUUAGUGUCAGUGGUAUUUGAAGGUGAGACUUGAUCCGAAUCCCAGUCAGUGGUAUUUCGAGGUGAGGCUUUUAUUCAAGUCCCAGUCAGUGGCAUUUCAAGGUAAGGGUUUUAUUCCAAUCCCAGUCAGUGGUAUUUCUAGGUGAGGCUUGAUUCCAAUCCCGGUCAGUGGUAAUUCGAGGUGAAGCUUUUAUUCCGGUCACAGUGAGUGGUAUUUCAAGGUGAGGCUUGAUUCCAAUCCCAAACAGUAGUAUUUCAAAGUGAGGCUAGGUAAAUAUCGUAUGGCGUAGUAUUCUAAAGCAACACUUGGUCACAAUCCCAGUCGGCCUUGUUUCUGUUUAAAGUAAGGUUCCUUUGUCACUGUGAUGGUUUGAAGGUGUGGUUUGGUCCCUAUGUCAGACAGUAUUGUUUCAUGGUUUAGAGAGGUUCAUGAGGGAAAUCCUUCUAUAAGCUAUCAACGUAUGUUUGUUCGGUGGGCAGCGGUAUUGGCACCAUCAUCAGAUAUGUAACUUCCAGUGUCUGUAGUGUGCUGUGACAUAAUGUCUGGCUUGAUGUUCAUGGCCCUCAUUAUUGGCAGGUUACAAACAUUGUUCAUUAGCUAUUUCCGCUAUCUGGUGUUACUUGAUUGCUGUUGUUUUAUUCUUGGAUCUGAAUCACACUUCGAUCAGCAUGUGCUUUGCAAGUAGACGGGAUCAUUCCAGUCAGAAUUCCUCCAUCUGUGUGUCAAACAGGACAAUUUCCUCCUGUGUGGAUAUUGACAAAUUUAUCUGUUUGUCUAGCCUUUGCAUGUUUUUUGUUAUGACGAGUGAUACCCUUUAUCAGCACUAUUUGAUGGUGAUUCAUAAUCACAUGCUCAUGGUAUAGUCUCUGCUCUUGACAAAGGUUUCUUGUGGAUGUGGAAAGAGCUUGUCACUUUUAUUUGAUAGUUUGCCGACUUAGACGUGACUCAGAGCCAAUGCUGUGCAGAUGUAAAACAUGUACAUUUGUUUUCCUGACUUUUGUAAGAUGAAAGUCUGGACAGAGAAUUAAUCAAGGAUAAUUUUCACAGAGAUCAACCGUUUAUGUUACGAAAUCUAUUACUUUGGAACAUGAGUAUAAUUAACUGGUUAGUUAGGUUGAUAAAAGCUAGUUAGUGUCAUAAAUACAUCUGUCACAUUCAUGUCAUCAAUAACGUUAUUGUCGUCAAAACAUUUUGUUCAGGAAAUAAUUUGUCAUCUGUUAGAUGAUUACACGUUUAAUUUGCUAAAGACAGAAAUGAUACAUACAAAACAAACGGCAUCAAUCUGAUUUUUUGAAAUUGCAGACGUAAAACAUGGUAUACUGUACGGUAUUCUUGUUUGACACACUCAUACAAACUAAUACCACCCCCGUCACUGACUUCUUACAUUUCCAAAACGUUGAAGUUCGGAUGGAGACUCUUUAUGAGCAUCUGCUCGCGUCAAAUACAUUUAGUUACACGAUAUAGUGUUGACGAAGACAAGAUUCGUGGUUCUAACUACCAGCUAUGUACUUAAAAUGUGAAAUUGUGUUGUAAACGAUUUGAAACAAAUGAACAGAAAUGAAUAUUCCUGACUAAAUUAUGCCCUCUCCUUGAGCGGAUAUGUCAGUAUGAGGUUACACAACGUUAUAAACAACCUGUGUCAUCACUUUGGGCUUCCCUGCAUUUUAAGGGAACACACGGAGUCCUUUCCACAUCCAUAAGGUGCUCAAAGCAUAGUCGAAAUGUAUAUAAACAUGUGUGUAUGAAUUACCAUAUAGUGCAUAUAAUAGUGACUUAAAGAUGGCAUUGAAGAUGGAACAAAGAUACGUUAAAUCCCAAUACAAUGUUCUGCAAGAAACCAGUGUGUGAAUACAUUUCAGUUUUCAUUUGACAGUGUCCUGCCAAGUAUAUCAAAUUCUUAUACUAUCUUUAAGUAAUGUGUGAAGAUACCCAUUGUACGUAAAAAUCUAAAGGUUAAGGAUAUGGGCUAAUCAGUACAUAAUCACUACUUUCUAAUACAUAUCAAAAUGAUUCAAAUGAUUUAUGACAUAAUACAAAUGAAUUAAGAAAUGAAGAAUGAUUCAAGUCAUGUAUUGCAUCUUGCGCAUCAGUGAGCUGUUAAAGGCACUGGGUUAUGUUCUGCUGGCAACCUGUUGUACGCAUGUUCUGAUAGAAAUGUUCAAACAGAUAUAGGUGUACUUCGCGUGUCAGCAUUCCUUUGAUCAUCUGAACACCAGCCACAUCUAAAGCCACUCCUGCCAUGAAGAGAUCCCUUGCACCUAAAACAGAUCAGUGGAGCUUAUACCGCUAAGACAUGCAACUCCAAAUAACACCAGAUAACUCUAAAUUUCUACCAACAAAACAGACAUUUUCACUGAGCUGUGUGCUAUUUUGAGGCAAGGCUCUGAUCAAAUGGAAUUGUAAACACAGUAUAGUACAUCACAAAUUAGAUUGGUGCUUGAUUGACAUGUGGAUAAAUUGUUGGAUUCGUGUAGUGCUUUAGACCCCGCUACGAUUGAGCAAGUAGAGUCCAAUUUGUCAGACGAUGUAUACAGGUUCCAGCAGUGGUAAUUAAGUGCGAGGACAACAAUAGGUAUCAAAGCUAAGGAGGCUGUCCACAGCAGACUUGGUGACGUAUAUAUUUUCUUUGUGAGAAUUAGGUUGGUGUUGUAUUGGAUGAAGUCACGGAUCUGUGUUGCCGUUAGCAUAGUCAUUGACAACGGGUUUGAUGAGAAAUGUUAUCCUUUCAUACCUUUAAUCCAUUGUACCUGUUUUUGACGAGCUACACCUUUUAGAAUAUUCUCUUGUUUGAAAUUAUCACAUGCCAACACAUGCCAACAAAAAUUGUUUGCUUCGUUCUGCUUGGCAACUAUGAUUCCUUGUCCCUUCACAAUAGACAUGAUUGCAUCCACUAUGUGUAGAACUUGAUUUUGAAUGGUAGCGACUAUGUAUGGAAGGUGGGCUUUGAUUACAACCUCUAUGUGUGGAAUGUGAGCUUUAAACAGUAGGGCGUAUUCCAAUUUAUUUUCUCAUAGGAGUAAACAAUAUACAACACCUCAAUAGAAACAUGUGAACAUCUUCAGUAAUCUCAACGAUCUUUGCAUGUAAAUUUUUUAGCUUAAAAUUAUAUCUGUCUCUUUAAUAAUUAUUUCCUUGCAACAUUGUUUCAUUGUUCAUGUGAUGCCUGUGAUUAAAUUGGUGCAUGGCCGGUGGCCAUUAUAGCUUUGUUGUGCGAAUUCCCCCAUAAUUAUCCUAUUAAGCUAUUUAUUGUUAACAUAUCUAUAUAUCAAUAUGUGAAAAUAGAUAUGAGAUAUAUCUAUAUAUUUACCUAUGUGGUAGUACAUACCACAUUUAUUUAUUGCAAAUCAUAGAUAUUUCUAUUUAUAUGUGUGUAUGUGUGUAUGUUGUGAAGAGGUGCAAUAUUUUGAAGUGAAAAGAAAUUAUUUUUCUAACCCCUAGUGCGUCUUUCCAUACAAUGUGGAUCGGUGUUUAAUAUCCAGUGAAAGAGACAUUAGUUGCUUCAGAUUGUAACUAUUGGUCAAAUUAUUGAUGUGACAAGUUCUGUUAUGAUCCUUUAGUAUAAAAUGUCAUCAACUUUCCAACCAUUUACAGAUGACGAAGACAAAACGAGGUGAUGAAAUGUGCUGCUUUGCUUUAGUUCUGAUAUCUACACCUUAUGUAAGGGUCUACUGAGAAAUAUUUUGAAUAAAACAUUGUCGUAAGGCAA
This is a long non-coding RNA of Haliotis rubra (blacklip abalone), 4786 nucleotides long. RefSeq lists it as uncharacterized. The transcript has 2 exons. NCBI's taxonomy places the organism in Eukaryota, Metazoa, Mollusca, Gastropoda, Lepetellida, Haliotidae. The record is from RefSeq and is a predicted model, not a curated record.